Long non-coding RNA from Oncorhynchus tshawytscha (Chinook salmon), 1986 nucleotides. Lineage: Eukaryota; Metazoa; Chordata; Actinopteri; Salmoniformes; Salmonidae. The record is from Ensembl.
CCCAGGUAUUUGUAGCUGUCUACGUAUUCUAAGUCAGAACCAUCCAGAGUAGUGAUGUUGGACGGGGACAUCUGGAGAGAGGAGAGACAUCUGGAGAGAGGAGAGACAUCUGGAGAGAGGAGAGACAUCUGGAGAGAGGAGAGACAUCUGGAGAGAGGAGACACAUCUGGAGAGAGGAGAGACAUCUGGAGAGAGGAGAGACAUCUAGAGAGAGGAGAGACAUCUGGAGAGAGGAGAGACAUCUGGAGAGAGGAGAGACAUCUGGAGAGAGGAGAGACAUCUGGAGAGAGGAGAGACAUCUGGAGAGAGGAGAGACAUCUGGAGAGAGGAGAGACAUCUGGAGAGAGGAGAGACAUCUGGAGAGAGGAGAGACAUCUGGAGACAAGAAUCACACCUCUCUCUCCUCCCUCAUUUUAUCUCCUCCCUCCAUCCCUCUCUCCUAAAACUGCCCUUGGAUGGAGGCCAACUUUCACUGCGGCCAAGAACAGUCCCAGCACCACCGAGAACAGUCCCAGCACCACCGAGAACAGUCCCAGCACCACCGAGAACAGUCCCAGCACCACCGAGAACAGUCCCAGCCUACCGAGAACAGUCCCAGCACCACCGAGAACCGUUUUCAGGCUAGCGCCACCGAGAACAGUUUUCAGGCUAGCGCCACCAAGAACAGUUUUCAGGCUAGCGCCACCGCGAUAACAGUUUUCAGGCUAGCACCACCGAGAACAGUUUUCAGGCUAGCACCACCGAGAACAGUUUUCAGGCUAGCGCCACCGCGAUAACAGUUUUCAGGCUAGCACCACCGAGAACAGUUUUCAGGCUAGCACCACCGAGAACAGUUUUCAGGCUAGCGCCACCGCGAUAACAGUUUUCAGGCUAGCACCACCGAGAACAGUUUUCAGGCUAGCACCACCGAGAACAGUUUUCAGGCUAGCACCACCGAGAACGGUUUUCAGGCUAGCACCACCGAGAACAGUUUUCAGGCUAGCACCACCGAGAACAGUUUUCAGGCUAGCGCCACCGAGAUAACGGUUUUCAGGAAGUGAGAAGUAUACAAGGUGAUGGGUGUCCUCUCCCUCUCCUUCUUACUUUCCUCUCCCUCUCAUGUCCGUCUCUCUGUCAUCCUCCUGUCCUCUCCUUCUCAUGUCCGUCUCUCUGUCAUCCUCCUGUCCACUCCUUCUCCUGUCCUUCCCUCUGUCAUCCUCCUGUCCUCUCCCUCUCCUGUCCUUCUCUCUGUCAUCCUCCUGUCCUCUCCCUCUCCUCUCUGUCAUCCUCCUCUCUCCUGUCCCCCUCCCCCUCCUACCCCUCUUCUCCCACAUCAAAGGAUUUCAGGUGGAACGCCACACCUCUCCCUGUUUCAGGUGGAAGGCCACACCUCUCCCUGUUUCAGGUGGAAGGCCACACCUCUCACUGUUUCAGGUGGAAGACCACACCUCUCACUGUUUCAGGUGGAAGGCCACACCUCUCACUGAGGUGGAAGACAGAGGAACUAGAAUGUGUAGUGGUAGAGAGGUGGGAGAAAGAGGAAUUAGAAUCUAAUCAGUGUGUCUGAUGAAGAAGAGAGAAGAGGAUAUCCCACAGCCAGGACAACUCUAGUCAGUUUGUCUGAUGAAGAGGACAUCCCACAGCCAGGACAACUCUAAUCAGUUUGUCUGAUGAAGAAGAGAGAAGAGGACAUCCCACAGCCAGGACAACUCUAAUCAGAGUGUCUGAUGAAGAGGACAUCCCACAGCCAGGACAACUCUAAUCAGCGUGUCUGAUGAAGAGGACAUCCCACAGCCAGGACAACUCUAAUCAGUUUGUCUGAUGAGGAAGAGGACAUCCCACAGCCAGGACGACUCUAAUAAUAUCAAAUCAAAUCAAAUCAAAUUUAUUUAUAUAGCCCUUCGUACAUCAGCUGAUAUCUCAAAGUGCUGUACAGAAACCCAGCCUAAAACCCAAAACAGCAAGCAAUGCAGGUGUAGAAGCACGGUGGCUAGGAAAAACUCCCUA